GGACUCGCGGCCUAUCAGCUAGUUGGUGGGGUAAGUGCUCACCAAGCAGAGGAUGGGUAGCCGGCUUGUGAGGGAGACCGUCCACCCUCGGAGUGAGACACGGCCCAGCCUCAUUCGGGAGGCAGCAGUCGGGAAUAUUUCACAAUCGGUGAAAGCAAGCUGCAGCGACGCCGCGUGAGGGAUGAAGGCCUUCGGGUUGUAAACCUCUUUCAGCAGGCAAGAAGCGAAAGUGACGGUCCCUCCAGAAGAAGCCCCGCCUAAUUACGUCCCACCAGCCGCGGUAAUACGUAGGGUGCAAGCGUUUUCCGGAAUUAUUGGGCGUAAAGAGUUUGUAGGCGGUUUGUAAGUUAAACAGUGAAUAUCCGCGGUUCAACCUGGGGCUUCCUGUGGGUACGGGCAGACUAGAGUACGGUAGGGGAGACCGGAAUUCCUGGUGUAGCGGUGAAAUGCGCAGAUAUCAGGAGGAACACCGAUGGCGAAGGCAGCUCUC
Molecule: ribosomal RNA, 490 nt
Filed under: uncultured bacterium
Lineage: Bacteria
Description: bacterial SSU rRNA
Rfam family: Bacterial small subunit ribosomal RNA
Source: RNAcentral